RNAcentral lists this non-coding RNA (30 nucleotides) under Homo sapiens (human). Lineage: Eukaryota; Metazoa; Chordata; Mammalia; Primates; Hominidae. The record is from RNAcentral.
ACCGUGUCCAUAACAUGGAGGUGUCCAAGG